Molecule: non-coding RNA, 128 nt
Filed under: Peptococcaceae bacterium
Lineage: Bacteria; Bacillati; Bacillota; Clostridia; Eubacteriales; Peptococcaceae
Description: MoCo sequence
Rfam family: Molybdenum/Tungsten riboswitch aptamer (Moco RNA motif)
Source: RNAcentral
GCAAAUAGUUUACUCCAAAACUGGAAACCUACGGUGGGGAACUAUGGGGACCAGGCAAGUGCCAAUGGGUACUCGGGUAGUGUUGGAAACGGCGCUAUCUCCUGUGGGAAAGGAGUCUGUAUACAAAG